Long non-coding RNA from Sphaeramia orbicularis (orbiculate cardinalfish), 169 nucleotides. RefSeq lists it as uncharacterized. The record is from RefSeq and is a predicted model, not a curated record. NCBI's taxonomy places the organism in Eukaryota, Metazoa, Chordata, Actinopteri, Kurtiformes, Apogonidae. The transcript is spliced from 3 exons.
UGAUACUGUUGCAUUUCUAACACUUUUCUUACACUACUGUAGCUCUGAACGCUUUAUUAGGAACAGUUGGAAUUCAGACUAAAUGCAUUACCUAACGUUUAGACCACACAAACUGAUCUCAGCAUGAUUUCAAUGUAGUUUAAUCAGUAACACAUUCAAUAACACAUAC